CGUAGGCGGUUUGUUAAGUCGGAUGUGAAAGCCCCGGGCUCAACCUGGGAAUUGCAUUCGAUACUGGCCGACUAGAGUACGAGAGAGGGAGGUAGAAUUCCACGUGUAGCGGUGAAAUGCGUAGAUAUGUGGAGGAAUACCGGUGGCGAAGGCGGCCUCCUGGCUCGAUACUGACGCUGAGGUGCGAAAGCGUGGGUAGCAAACA
Molecule: ribosomal RNA, 205 nt
Filed under: uncultured bacterium
Lineage: Bacteria
Description: partial 16S ribosomal RNA
Rfam family: Bacterial small subunit ribosomal RNA
Source: RNAcentral